This 309-nucleotide ribosomal RNA is filed under the name Staphylococcus aureus. Its description in RNAcentral is "partial 16S ribosomal RNA". It matches the Rfam family "Bacterial small subunit ribosomal RNA", at positions 1226 to 1533 of the family's 1533-position model. The record is from RNAcentral. Lineage: Bacteria; Bacillati; Bacillota; Bacilli; Caryophanales; Staphylococcaceae.
UACAAUGGACAAUACAAAGGGCAGCGAAACCGCGAGGUCAAGCAAAUCCCAUAAAGUUGUUCUCAGUUCGGAUUGUAGUCUGCAACUCGACUACAUGAAGCUGGAAUCGCUAGUAAUCGUAGAUCAGCAUGCUACGGUGAAUACGUUCCCGGGUCUUGUACACACCGCCCGUCACACCACGAGAGUUUGUAACACCCGAAGCCGGUGGAGUAACCUUUUAGGAGCUAGCCGUCGAAGGUGGGACAAAUGAUUGGGGUGAAGUCGUAACAAGGUAGCCGUAUCGGAAGGUGCGGCUGGAUCACCUCCUUU